UCACGACCCCUCCCCCUGCACUCUGUUCUCGGGGCCGCUGGUCUAAAGCCCGAGCCUGACCCUCUGGCCCAUGGAGGGCGGGGGAGGCUUCCUGCAUCCUCAGGACCUGCGGACCUGCCCUCCUCUCUUCCCUCUGCCCUCUCGUCCCUACUGUCUCCUCCCCCAGGAAGCUCCUCUGGUUGGUAUCUUGGGACCCCAAGAACCGCGAAAGCUCAGCCGUGCGUCCUCCUGACAGCCUCCUGCCCCCACCGUAGAGUUGGCUCCUAAUUGGUGACCUGACACCCGUGCCCAUCUCCUCCUGUGGGGACACCACGAUGUGUUUGCAUCUCAUGGCGCCUCGUCUCAUCUCCUUGUCUGUCCUGAUUCCUGCCACCCUGGGCUGAGCCGAGCUCGUCUCGGGCUGCUCUCCCUGGUGCUUUUGUCAAGGGCCAGGGGCUCCCAGGCCACCCCUCUGUCCUGCCAUCCAGGGGGACCUCCUGCAGCAGCCUCAGUUGGCCACGUGGAGAGCAGAGCGCGCCCCAGAGCCGCGAGGAAGUCACUGUGCCGAGAUGCUGCGCUUCAGUAAAUCUGGAUAAAAACAUGCUCUUACGUCUGUAACUCUCCCUAAAUCCUAGAGAAGGUGGACCCAUACCAACCCUGCCACCCUCCCCACUGUGUGAAAAACAAAUGGUUUUUGAAUCAAUAGCGACAUAAAGUAUCACAUAUCUCAGGAUUAUGUGCUCUUUAUAAAUAGAAAUUCUUUAAAUAAUGCUUAAAUGAAGGGAAUGCCGGGGCCAGGGGGGCCAGGGUAAGACCUGGAUCAGCUCUGCAAACCCCAUCGCACCUACGUCCUCUCCCCCGAACACAGGGAGCCGGUUUCCCCUCUGGCUGGUCCAGCUCCUGAGUGCGUGCGUGGCAUUGGGGUGCAGUAGGCGCCCCUCCAGGGGCGGCUCACAUAGUCUUGGAGGGAGUCGAAGCCUGGGCUUCUCUGAACUCCAGGCGGGACCCUGGAGCCCACGGCUGGCUCUGUGGCCUCCAGCGAGUUGCAGUUCUGAAAAUGAGUUUCCCUCUGAAAACGGAGCUCAUGCCAUCCCUUCGCCCUCUUCUCAGGAUCGUGUUGAGGAUGCGAGGAGGGCGCCCCUGGAAGGCCUUCUGCCCCUGGGAAGCCGCGGGCUGGAGGGCAGGAUGGACUUACACCAGGGCUCUCCUCUCUGGGCCUGCACCCUCCUGCCCCGCGGGAUGGCUGUGAGCCCCGGGACCGGGGGACCAGGAGCCCGGGAGCCCCUCCCAGGCCUCGGGGUCAGAGCCUCUCCUCUGUCUACGAGGAGGGAGCUCCGAGGGCCCUGACGCUCACAGUUAGAGUUUGCAGCUGGAGAGUUUGCACGGAACGAAUGACAUAUUUAGGUUCAGCUUUACAAUCAGCUGGUGACAGACAAGAAGCCGUAAACCUUUGGUGGGGGGCUUUUGCUUCUGCAAUCCCGGUUCCUGCCAGAAUCCCCUGCAUAUGCUGUGGCAUCAUUGAGCAACUGCUAGCACGAUUCAGACCCUGGAGUUGCUGCGCCUCGGAAACAGGAGUGAGAAGGACGCGGGAAGGACGCACAGACACCAGGGCAGCCCCCCGCCCCGCGGCCACUCCUGAGGCCGAGGCCGCUCCGCGGGUCUCUGCUCCUUCGCGCCCUCGGGUCUGUUUUGAAAGGUGGCGCUGUGGUCUGAACGUCUGUGUUCCUCAAAUUCUUGGGGUGAGCUCCCAACCCUGGGGUGGGAGCCGGAAGGGGUCUUGAAUACACUGUGAGGGAGGGGCCUCUUCAGUGGGACCCGCGCCCUUGCAAAGAAGUCCCUGGCCCUUCCACCACGUGGGGACACAGGAAGCGUCUGCCAACCCAGAGGGGCCCUCACUCAGCGGUGCUGGGACCCUGGGCUCGGUUUCUGGGCUCCAGGACAGUGAGGAAGGCAUUUCCUUUGGUUGUAAGCCACCCAGUCUGCGGUAUUUUCUUAUCGCGCCUCAAACAGACUAAGACAAGUGGCUUGUAUUUUCGCAAUUGAUGAGGAAAUUUUAGGAGCACAUACUACGUGCUAAGCGCCUUCUGGACAAUGUGAGGAGGAAAUCCCAGAACAGGAGCCGACUUCUGAGUGGCCAGGGAACUCAGUCCACUUUUGGCUGCUGUCACUCAAGUUCACCCUUGCGCACACCCUCUCCAUGGUCACCUGAGAUACAAAGAUGAGCACGGCCCUGCCUUCCAGAAAUUUAGCAUCUUUUAUAAUAAAAACAGCUGCAGCAGGAGUUCCCGUCGUGGCGCAGUGGUUAACGAAUCCGACUAGGAACCAUGAGGUUGCGGGUUCGGUCCCUGCCCUUGCUCAGUGGGUUAACGAUCCGGCGUUGCCGUGAGCUGUGGUGUAGGUUGCAGAUUCGGCUCGGAUCCCGCGUUGCUGUGGCUCUGGCGUAGGCCGGUGGCUACAGCUCCAAUUCAACCCCUAGCCUGGGAACCUCCAUAUGCCGCGGGAGCGGCCCAAGAACCAAGAGAUAGCAACAAUAACAACAACAAAAAGACAAAAG
Molecule: long non-coding RNA, 2533 nt
Filed under: Sus scrofa (pig)
Lineage: Eukaryota; Metazoa; Chordata; Mammalia; Artiodactyla; Suidae
Description: lncRNA (ENSSSCG00045011711.1)
Source: RNAcentral